UCUUUCCACACUGCAAGUGGAG
This 22-nucleotide non-coding RNA is filed under the name Arabidopsis thaliana (thale cress). The record is from RNAcentral. Lineage: Eukaryota; Viridiplantae; Streptophyta; Magnoliopsida; Brassicales; Brassicaceae.